This 437-nucleotide long non-coding RNA is filed under the name Androctonus crassicauda. Lineage: Eukaryota; Metazoa; Arthropoda; Arachnida; Scorpiones; Buthidae. The record is from RNAcentral.
GCUAGUGGUCCGACCGAUGGUUCUCGGUCCCGUCCGGUUGGGUUACUUAGAAAGUCCGACCUUUUAUCCGAUUUUAAAUAUCCCGAUGGCCACAUUACUAAAGUUAAUACCACCUUUCUUAUUCUACCCCCCUAGUCGGUCGGAUCAUACACACCCCCCGGAUCAUUCCUAUCUAAGCUCCUAUCGGAAAUCGUCCCUGGUGUCCGUUCGUUUUAUCGGUUGGUCGAUGAAGAUUCCGUUAUGACGGAAAGUACAGUCGUCAUCGACUAACGUUGAACGGUCAAAAUUGGUCACGAUAAUCUGGCCGUACAAACCGGCUUGGGAGAAAUUAUUUCCACCAUUUACCAAAACCAAAGUAAAAAUUUUAACAUUUGGACAUCUACCGAUUAAAUGAUUACGAAGAAUUUUACUCUACAUAAAAUAUAAUAAUACCGUAC